Non-coding RNA from Pelomonas sp. Root1444, 373 nucleotides. It matches the Rfam family "transfer-messenger RNA". From Rfam's summary of the family: Bacterial tmRNA, also known as 10Sa RNA or SsrA, is named for its dual tRNA and mRNA-like properties. Its role is to liberate the mRNA from a stalled ribosome. Lineage: Bacteria; Pseudomonadati; Pseudomonadota; Betaproteobacteria; Burkholderiales; Sphaerotilaceae. The record is from Rfam.
GGGGCCGACCUGGUUUCGACGUGGGUGCGGAUCCGGAGUAGGGCAUGUCGAGCACCAGUCCGCUCGUAAAACCACUGGAAACAAAGUAACUGCAAACGACUCUACGUUCGCACUCGCCGCUUAAUUGCGGAUGAGCUUCUCAACGGCAGGCCGAUGGGCCGGGCUGAGUUCCGCAAGGGGCAAGGCUGAGAAGUCACUCACAUCGGCUGGCGUCGCACCGGGUCACUCGGUACGGCGCGAGAUCAAGUGACUGGCGGGAAAACUAGCGUGCCACUGCGCGAGUUGACCGUGAGAUUCAAAUCAGCCGGCUAAACAUGUAGAUCUGCCCGGUGAUGGCUUGCGGACGGGGGUUCAAUUCCCCCCGGCUCCACCA